GUGGGGAAUCUUAGACAAUGGGCGCAAGCCUGAUCUAGCCAUGCCGCGUGAGCGAUGAAGGCCUUAGGGUUGUAAAGCUCUUUCGUGGGGGAAGAUAAUGACUGUACCCCAAGAAGAAGCCCCGGCUAACUCCGUGCCAGCAGCCGCGGUAAUACGGAGGGGGCUAGCGUUGUUCGGAAUUACUGGGCGUAAAGCGCACGUAGGCGGACUGGAAAGUCAGGGGUGAAAUCCCGGGGCUCAACCCCGGAACUGCCUUUGAAACUCCCAGUCUUGAGUUCGAGAGAGGUGAGUGGAAUUCCGGGUGUAGAGGUGAAAUUCGUAGAUAUUCGGAGGAACACCAGUGGCGAAGGCGGCUCACUGGCUCGAUACUGACGCUGAGGUGCGAAAGCGUGGGGAGCAAACAGGAUUAGAAACCCUGGUAGUCC
Molecule: ribosomal RNA, 425 nt
Filed under: uncultured bacterium
Lineage: Bacteria
Description: partial 16S ribosomal RNA
Rfam family: Bacterial small subunit ribosomal RNA
Source: RNAcentral